Sphaeramia orbicularis (orbiculate cardinalfish) is the source of this 955-nucleotide long non-coding RNA. RefSeq lists it as uncharacterized. The transcript is spliced from 5 exons. The record is from RefSeq and is a predicted model, not a curated record. NCBI's taxonomy places the organism in Eukaryota, Metazoa, Chordata, Actinopteri, Kurtiformes, Apogonidae.
GCUCUGUUACUGUGUCACUUGGAGGUGUGUUCAUGUGACGCCAUCAAGGUCAGAAGGAAAUAAAUGUCCUCUGAGUUUAUUCUUAGAUUGAGGGCAAAGUUUAGAGUGGGACUAAAAACAUACGAGGCAGAAAAAGUGAUUUUUUACCUGCACGCAACUUUCAGAACAGGAUCAGAUCGACAUGUAGACUGACGCUUCAUUACUGAUCUGCAAAGACGAGACUUGGAAAAAUAGGAGCUGCUGUAUGUGGAGGCGAAGGGAAGUGUUCAGGUUUUCAGAAUGAGGCUCUCUGGUGGAUUUGAUGAUGGGACCUGGUCCAGAAACACUGAACAGACUAAUCAUCCUCACACCGGCUGCCACCGCCAGCCUGCACGUGAAGACAAACUGAUUCACACCACCGUACACCCUCAGAUGAACCACAACCCCCCUGAAGACCUGAUGGACUUCAACUUUAACUUCCAGCCUUCAUUUGCAAAACUCGUAUGUGUGAGGACGAGCAGUAAAGGAUACCCCCCAGAUUUCUGACAACGGCACGAAGCUUCACAGUUUGUUCAUGUUCCGUAUGGAAAACCUUCUGUAUCCUGAACGCAGACGUACAGGUGGAAAACCCGACGCACACUCACCUUAUGAGGAAACAACAGGAACUUUGUACACGUUAGCUCCGUUUUUGUUUUUUUGUUUUUUUUACCAGAUGUCACAUCAUUGGGAACAGCUAAAAACGAUGGAAAGACAAGGGUUUUUUUUUGUUUUUGUUUUUUUUACAUAAGGCGGAAAUAUGUUAGUUUAAAGUCACAUAUUAGAUAUUCUGUGAUUCUUAAAGGCUUCCAUUUAAAAAAACCCUAUGUGUAAAAUUAUCUCUGAUUAUUUCAGGCUUUUUUUUUAAAAAGAUGUGAUCCUCCACGUCAGUUAUGUUUUAUUGUUGUAUUUGUAUUUUGUAUUUAUUUAUUUAUUUUGA